GGGGAAUCUUGCGCAAUGGGCGAAAGCCUGACGCAGCAACGCCGCGUGAGCGAAGAAGGCCUUCGGGUUGUAAAGCUCUGUCAGGGGGAAAGAAGGCACCUGGGUUAAUAGCCCAAGGGCUGACGGUACCUCCAAAGGAAGCCACGGCUAACUACGUGCCAGCAGCCGCGGUAAUACGUAGGUGGCAAGCGUUGUCCGGAAUCAUUGGGCGUAAAGAGCGCGUAGGUGGCUUGUCAGGUCUGAUGUGAAAACCUGGGGCUCAACUCCAGGCCUGCAUCAGAAACCGGCUUGCUAGAGUCUGGGAGAGGAGAGUGGAAUUCCUGGUGUAGCGGUGAAAUGCGUAGAUAUCAGGAGGAACACCGGUAGCGAAGGCGGCUCUCUGGAACAGUACUGACGCUGAGGCGCGAAAGCUAGGGGAGCGAAC
RNAcentral lists this ribosomal RNA (424 nucleotides) under uncultured bacterium. RNAcentral describes it as "bacterial SSU rRNA". It matches the Rfam family "Bacterial small subunit ribosomal RNA", at positions 356 to 773 of the family's 1533-position model. The record is from RNAcentral.